CAGGGCUGACUAUGGCCACUAGACAGGAAUCAGCCUUUCACUGGUCAUUUAAAGACUACUUCUCACUGAGAGGCAGAAGGAAUCAUUCCAGCCAUCAUUGUCUGGAUCCUCUGAACAACCUCCAGCAGCAUCAUGACCUUUACCAACAUCCGAGGUGAUUCUCAGCUCUAAGUAUUUUUUAUUUAUUUGAAUCUUCAGGAUAAAAGAGGGAAAGCUUUGGGGUUCUUCUCCAGGUUGACAUUCUGACUCCACCUCUUAACAGACAAGUGAUUUUGAGAAAAUUACUUCACAAGUCUUCAACCUCAGUUUCAUGGUUUUAAAACUAGAAGCAAUGCUACUACCUAGGGGAAAUUUGUUUUAACAAUUACAAGCAAAAAUAUGCACAAGGAACCUGGGACAGGUGCCGAGCACUCUUCACUCUGCAAUGAUCACCCAGAAGACAACAGAGUGAUGCUUCUCUCCACCUGCUGUAUGAGGACAGCCUGGGCAAUGGGGACAUCGGUAUGAGCUGUCUAUCAGUCCUAGCUCCCUCCAUCUGGACCCAAUGUAGAUUGCUGCUGCUUCAGCUGACCAGAUUCCUUUCGAUUAACACAGACUUUCUUGAGAUAUGUUAACAUACCCUUUGCAUCCCACUUAAGUUUGGAAGACAUUUCCUCUAUUAUAAAUGAUAUGAAAAUGUCUGAGAGUUUAGGUGCAUAUUUUGAAGUCUAACUCAAAACAGUGAUUGUAUUUUCCCUGUACACAAAUUCUUCAUGUACACCCAUUGGUGUUCUGCAGACAGCUUAUACUAGUUCAGGGGAGCUGCUUGCUAAAUAUUCAGAAAUUUUGUGAAUUGGCUGUGAAACAUAGUUGUUAUUAAAAGAUAAAUUACACAAACUUACAACUGAUGAAUCAUAUUAAAAACAAAGACAAUACUCAACUCAUGAUUUUCUGUCCUUUGACUGCAUUUCACAAAUGUCUGUGAUCUUGAGAUUGUUUAUAUCUAUUGUAACUGCAAGUGCUGUGCUACUGCACACUUCUGCUCAGGUCCACCUUCAGGAACUGCAUGGUGGUACGGUAAGAUUGGCCAUGGUGCGAUUAUUCACACCACAGAAACUAUACACUGUUAUUAUACAAAUCAUGGCCUGAUGUAUUGUUUUAUCGAUUCUCUGGACUGAAGAAAGCGAUGGAGAAAAUACUAGUAAUAUAGAUUUAAACUUAAAAGUGUGUCAUGUUGCUUCCAUUACAUUGUAACACACACACACACACACACACACACACAAUUUAGGAAAUAUUCUACUAGUAUUCUAAAGCUAUUAUUUGACUCGCCAAAGAAGCAGCUUCCAUCAUUGACAAACAAGCAAAGCUUUAGCAUAUGCCUUCAUUGUUUCACUUUUGUCUUACUCACUGAUGUAAAUGAAAAUACUGACUGGUACUUGUGUUUAUAUGCUUUCAACAAUUGUUAACUGUAGGUUGACUAUGAAUGCCAGGAUUUGGAAAAAAAAUCAAUGAAUACAUUCUGUGAGAAUAAAAUGCCCAUGUGGAAUGUACAGUAAGAAUAGCAUGCAUUUUUACUAUUAUUUGUAAAUUGCUCUGCAUCCUCUAUGCCAGUAAAUUUAUAAUAAGCUUGUAUCUAGACACAUUCACAUUUUUUUGGAGACCUUGUUAUUAAACAUUACCAUUAAAACACUAGGGACACUAAAAACCUGUGCCUAUGUGUUUACAUGUAUUAUAAUCAGUGAUUUUUAUUUUUUAUAUCAUUAAGGUCUUUACCAAUAUUCUGCCAA
Molecule: long non-coding RNA, 1766 nt
Filed under: Homo sapiens (human)
Lineage: Eukaryota; Metazoa; Chordata; Mammalia; Primates; Hominidae
Description: HSALNT0039220
Source: RNAcentral